UUGGUGGGUUUUUUUAACCUUAUCUAUGAAACCCACAUGGUAAACUCCCAUGACGUUCACUUUAUCUUCUUUAAAAAGAUGAUGGGACAAGCUGACCCUGACAAGGUUCAGUUGUAGAGUUUAAAGCAACUAAGUGAAUUCACAGGAUCUUCAGCAGACAGUACAACUGAUGCAGUCAGAGGUACUCCUAAACAAAAUCAGAUUAAGAGAAGAGGAGCAUCUUGUUCCAGUAAUGCUGUACCUGGGAGCAAGAGGUUUUUCUAUAAUAAAAGAAUCCUUAUCCAGGUUUGAAGUUUUUCUGCCAUGGGAUGGACUCCACAAUGGGGAAAAAGGGAAUAUGAGGCUUAAUGCUUUCUGCUGGCUCGAGGUUGACGAGGCUCCUUAUGCUUUUGCACCCUGAGAAAUAUCUGGAUCUGGCAUUAUUCUACAUUAUUCUACAUUAGUAUUUCAUUCACAUUCCUUACAAUUAUUGCAGUGAAAUACACAGUUUGGGAAUUUGGUAAAAGAAAGUGAAGAAAAUACAUAGCAGAUUUCUGUACAUACUCUGUAAUGUUUGUCCAAUCUCAUAAAAUAUUACUGUUGGGAAGGAAUCAGUUUUCUGCAUGCCAUGUGCAGUUUGUGAUAUUGAUCAUGCAACUGAGUCAAUUAAAGGAGACAUAGCUCUGUUAAAACUGGAAAAGUACUAUUGUCACCUGUGCUAUACUCUGUAAAAUCAGAAGAUUUACAUUUGUUCAGUUUGAUAUCUCACUUGUCUUUGCAAACCACAGGCUAUACCUGCAAUCCCCUAGCAUAACCUAGGUUUUUAAUUUCCAGUUGUGAAUACAUAAACUACUGAAUCAAGUCAGCAUUAUAUUUAGCUUAGCAGGGCCUGUAUCAUAGGUCACAGAUCUGAUGCUCUUGAGUUGGAACUGAGAGGAUCCUGCCAUAAAAUAUUUUCAUUACAGCUUUAUGGUUCAAAACACAGACACAUGCUCCACGCUGCUGUCCAUAGAUGGGGUUUGCUUAUGUUGCACUUUGUGAUAGCCCAUGUAGUGAAAUUUUAGUACUUUGGGAUAAGUGAGCAGUUAAGGACUCUAAUUUCCAAUGCAAUUAAUGAGCAGUGUUAAGGUGUGUGUACAGUAGGCUUUUAUGAACAGCUAUCAGAAAGAAUGCUUACAGCACCUGAACAGAAUAGAAUAAAUAAUUAUUUGGACUAUUCACUCUAAGUGUGGAUAAAUAAUGUAUACAUGAUAAUUGAUACAUAAAUUUAAAAUUCAGAAAUGACAGGAACAAAACCAUUUAAUGAAUCUCUUCCACAAUACUAUAAAGUCAAUACAUGAAGGGUUUCCUGAGCAAACUCUUAGUUCUGUAUUGGGAUACAAGGGUCUUUCC
This is a long non-coding RNA of Vidua macroura (Pin-tailed whydah), 1371 nucleotides long. RefSeq lists it as uncharacterized. The transcript has 5 exons. The record is from RefSeq and is a predicted model, not a curated record. NCBI's taxonomy places the organism in Eukaryota, Metazoa, Chordata, Aves, Passeriformes, Viduidae.